RNAcentral lists this ribosomal RNA (449 nucleotides) under uncultured bacterium. RNAcentral describes it as "partial 16S ribosomal RNA". It matches the Rfam family "Bacterial small subunit ribosomal RNA", at positions 29 to 523 of the family's 1533-position model. The record is from RNAcentral.
AACGAACGCUGGCAGCAGGCCUAACACAUGCAAGUCGAACGCCCUAGCAAUAGGGAGUGGCAGACGGGUGAGUAACACGUGGGAACGUGCCCUUCGGUUCGGAAUAACUCAGGGAAACUUGAGCUAAUACCGGAUAAGUGCGAGAGCAGAAAGAUUAUUUGCCGAAGGAUCGGCCCGCGUCCGAUUAGCUAGUUGGUGAGGUAAUGGCUCACCAAGGCGACGAUCGGUAGCUGGUCUGAGAGGAUGACCAGCCACACUGGGACUGAGACACGGCCCAGACUCCUACGGGAGGCGGCAGUGGGGAAUAUUGGACAAUGGGCGCAAGCCUGAUCCAGCCAUGCCGCGUGAGUGAUGAAGGCCCUAGGGUUGUAAAGCUCUUUCGCCAGGGACGAUAAUGACGGUACCUGGAUAAGAAGCCCCGGCUAACUUCGUGCCAGCCGCCGCCGUGA